Molecule: ribosomal RNA, 552 nt
Filed under: uncultured bacterium
Lineage: Bacteria
Description: partial 16S ribosomal RNA
Rfam family: Bacterial small subunit ribosomal RNA
Source: RNAcentral
UAGGGAAUCUUCCACAAUGGACGCAAGUCUGAUGGAGCAACGCCGCGUGAAUGAAGAAGGUUUUCGGACCGUAAAGCUCUGUUGUUGGUGAAGAAGGAUAGAGGUAGUAACUGGCCUUUAUUUGACGGUAAUCAACCAGAAAGUCACGGCUAACUACGUGCCAGCAGCCGCGGUAAUACGUAGGUGGCAAGCGUUGUCCGGAUUUAUUGGGCGUAAAGCGAGCGCAGGCGGAAGAAUAAGUCUGAUGUGAAAGCCCUCGGCUUAACCGAGGAAUUGCAUCGGAAACUGUUUUCUUGAGUGCAGAAGAGGAGAGUAGAACUCCAUGUGUAGCGGUGGAAUGCGUAGAUAUAUGGAAGAAUACCAGUGGCGAAGGCGGCUCUCUGGUCUGCAACUGACGCUGAGGCUCGAAAGCAUGGGUAGCGAACAGGAUUAGAUACCCUGGUAGUCCAUGCCGUAAACGAUGAGUGCUAAGUGUUGGGAGGCUUCCGCCUCUCAGUGCUGCAGCUAACGCAUUAAGCACUCCGCCUGGGGGAGUACGACCGCAAGGUUGAA